GCUUAACACAUCCAAGUCGAGCGCCCCGCAAGGGGAGCGGUCAGACGGGUGAGUAACGCGUGGGAAUCUACCCAUCCCUACGGAACAACUCCGGGAAACUGGAGCUAAUACCGUAUACGCCCUUUGGGGGAAAGAUUUAUCGGGGAUGGAUGAGCCCGCGUUGGAUUAGCUAGUUGGUGGGGUAAAGGCCUACCAAGGCGACGAUCCAUAGCUGGUCUGAGAGGAUGAUCAGCUCACAUUGGGACUGAGACACGGCCCAAACUCCUACGGGAGGCAGCAGUGGGGAAUAUUGGACAAUGGGCGCAAGCCUGAUCCAGCCAUGCCGCGUGAGUGAUGAAGGCCUUACGGUUGUAAAGCUCUUUCACCGGAGAAGAUAAUCGACGGUAUCCGGAGAAGAA
RNAcentral lists this ribosomal RNA (398 nucleotides) under Rhizobium sp. ORS 1464. RNAcentral describes it as "bacterial SSU rRNA". It matches the Rfam family "Bacterial small subunit ribosomal RNA", at positions 46 to 489 of the family's 1533-position model. Lineage: Bacteria; Pseudomonadati; Pseudomonadota; Alphaproteobacteria; Hyphomicrobiales; Rhizobiaceae. The record is from RNAcentral.